GACGAACGCUGGCGGCGUGCUUAACACGUGCAAGUCGAACGGUAAGGCCCUUCGGGGUACACGAGUGGCGAACGGGUGAGUAACACGUGGGUGAUCUGCCCUGCACUUCGGGAUAAGCCUGGGAAACUGGGUCUAAUACCGGAUAGGACCACUGCCUGCAUGGGUGGUGGUGGAAAGCUUUUGCGGUGUGGGAUGGGCCCGCGGCCUAUCAGCUUGUUGGUGGGGUGAUGGCCUACCAAGGCGACGACGGGUAGCCGCCUGAGAGGGUGACCGGUCACACUGGGACUGAGAUACGGCCCAGACUCCUACGGGAGGCAGCAGUGGGGAAUAUUGCACAAUGGGCGCAGGCCCGAUGCAGCGACGCCGCGUGAGGGAUGACGGCCUUCGGGUUGUAAACCUCUUUCAGCUAUGACGAAGCGCAAGUGACGGUAGUAGCAGAAGAAGGACCGGCCAACUACGUGCCAGCCGCCGCCGUAA
This 477-nucleotide ribosomal RNA is filed under the name uncultured bacterium. RNAcentral describes it as "partial 16S ribosomal RNA". It matches the Rfam family "Bacterial small subunit ribosomal RNA", at positions 28 to 523 of the family's 1533-position model. The record is from RNAcentral.